RNAcentral lists this unclassified non-coding RNA (543 nucleotides) under plant metagenome. Its description in RNAcentral is "partial contains 5.8S ribosomal RNA, internal transcribed spacer 2, and large subunit ribosomal RNA". The stretch from base 1 to 104 matches the Rfam family "5.8S ribosomal RNA", at positions 50 to 154 of the family's 154-position model. The record is from RNAcentral.
GAAACGCGAUACGUGAUGCGAAUCGCGGGAACCAGCGAGCCAUCCAAUCUUCGAACGCACCUUGCGCUCCCGGUACCCCCGGGAGCACGCCUGUCCGAGUGUCGUCCCCAAGACCCGUCGCCUUUCUUUCUCUUCUCUCUCUCUUUUCAUCGAGAGAGAGAGAGGGGUGUGAAAGGCUGCCCUGGGCUUGUCGCCGCCUGACUUCCAUUUGUUUGGGUGGCGUCGCCCUAAGAACAGACUCAAAGGGGUUUUUCCUUCUUUGCAGGAUUUCUCCACUCAUGCCCUCUCUCUUUCCCUUCUCUUCUUCGCAAGAAGAGAGAAGAGAAAAAGAGUGCCUGGCAGUUAGCGGGAUCUUCACGAUUUCGCCACACCAAAGGGUCUCUUUUUUUCUUCUUUCCUUGGGAAGAGAAAGAGAGGAGCAAAAAGAGAAAAGGGAAACUUGCAAAAACAAAAAGGAUAAAACCAUUUCCCUUUUUUGUUAAACACUUUUUUUCAAAAAACGACCGACCUCGGAUCAGACGUCAUCACCCGCCGGACUUAAGC